Molecule: ribosomal RNA, 527 nt
Filed under: uncultured bacterium
Lineage: Bacteria
Description: bacterial SSU rRNA
Rfam family: Bacterial small subunit ribosomal RNA
Source: RNAcentral
AAUAGAUACCCGGGUAGUCCACGCCGUAAACGAUGAGUGCUAAGUGUUAGAGGGUUUCCGCCCUUUAGUGCUGCAGCUAACGCAUUAAGCACUCCGCCUGGGGAGUACGGUCGCAAGACUGAAACUCAAAGGAAUUGACGGGGGCCCGCACAAGCGGUGGAGCAUGUGGUUUAAUUCGAAGCAACGCGAAGAACCUUACCAGGUCUUGACAUCCUCUGACAACUCUAGAGAUAGAGCGUUCCCCUUCGGGGGACAGAGUGACAGGUGGUGCAUGGUUGUCGUCAGCUCGUGUCGUGAGAUGUUGGGUUAAGUCCCGCAACGAGCGCAACCCUUGAUCUUAGUUGCCAGCAUUUAGUUGGGCACUCUAAGGUGACUGCCGGUGACAAACCGGAGGAAGGUGAGGAUGACGUCAAAUCAUCAUGCCCCUUAUGACCUGGGCUACACACGUGCUACAAUGGAUGGUACAAAGGGCUGCAAGACCGCGAGGUCAAGCCAAUCCCAUAAAACCAUUCUCAAGUUCGGAUUGU